AUUCAGAUUGGAGAGGUAAUUCAGAUUAUAUGUGGGAUGAACCUCAACAAUUUCAACAAGGUGGAUAUUGGCAGCAAGACGAGUUCUAUUCAAGACCUAUGCAGCCACCACAGCAUCCCCCACAACAAUUCCAAUCAAAUCAAAAUAUGCCCAUGAAUUAUAAUGAAAUUCUGGAAGGACUAAUUUCUGUGGCGCAGGGUUUACGAAAAGAAGAACAAUUGCCGCCAUCGGAAGAGUUCUAUCAGUGGCCAUAUGAACCAUCACAGCCACCACAACAAUCAACCCAAUUCAAUUCAGGUACAUCCUUGGAUAAUGAUACACUGAAUAAUUUACUCGCCUCUUUGAAUCAGGGAGUAGAAAAUCAAAACCAGGAGAUGCAAGACCGAGUCAAAAAGAGUAGACGAAUUGGAUAUGCAUGUUGGGCAAAUUAUGGAAUUCAUGGCACAGAUUCAAGAGCAAAGUGAAGUCUCCAACUCAACUCUUGAAAAAUUCAAAGGCAGAAGUUGAAAUCGAUGAAGCCAUCACCUUGGAAGGUGACAGGGAGGAUGAAGCUGUCCCAGAACCAUCCACACACAGCCCGAACUUGGAUGAAUUGCUGCUGCAAGCAGAAGGGGAGGAGGACGACCUGGGCAGUUUAGAAGAAUUCUUGCUGCAAGCUCCUCAAAUCCCUCUGUCAUCCAACUCAGGUGAGGAAGUUCCCAUUUCAUUUCAUUCUAAUGAUAUUCCUAUUCUUGGUGCAACAAAGCAGGUCCUAGAUCGUGUUGAAUAUUUCAAAGGCCUUUGUUUCCCAAGAAAUAUGAUUCAAGAGAAUGAAGUGGUGGAAGCAUGUCAAGAAUACAUCCAAGGGGCUGUGCAUGAGACAAUCAAGCCCAAAGCCGUUGAGUUUGAUGACCCGGGACAAGCCACAACCAUCAUAGUAAAUCUGGCCAAGUUCAAAGUCCCGGAAAUGUUCAAAAAAUGUGGUGUUUGUCAUUGAGUUUUGUGCCAGAAAAAGAAAGUAAGCCAUCUUCUCCAAUUUUAAUUUUUAUUUAUACUAACAUUUUUCUGAGUUUGAUGAUUCAGGCACCCACUCGUGAAUUCAAACCAUUGCCGAAUCAUUUCAAGUAUCACCUCCCAUUAAAAGAUAAAUUCCAUGCUUUGGAGCCGAUGGGAGUUUAAAGGAAAGAUUCGUCCGGCUAAAGACGUUAAAUCAAGCGCUUCUUGGGAGGCAACCCAAGCAUUCAACGAAGGGAGACUUUGAAAUUGCUCAACAAAUCUUUUUCCGAUCAGAUUUGCAUUCCUAAACCCUUCUCUUCAGUUGUGAUUUCUGAGUUGUGAUUUAAUUUGCUUAACUGCUUGAUAGAUAACUUAUUUUUGUAUGUCGAUUAAGGAUGCAUACUUAAUUUACAUGCAUGAAUUUGAUGCUAGAAUAUAAGUGAAUUUCACCUAAUCGUUAUGAACUUAUAUUCACAAGUAGUAAAGGUUGCUAGUCACAAUCACGUUAAGUAAAUUCUUGGCAUAAGUUUCAUGCAAAUCAUAGUAACGAGUGCCUCGUCAAUGCUUAUGUUUUUCAUAGAACUUACUGAUUCUUGCUUGUAUCUCUAUUAUGCAAUUCAUGUAGGGAACUUGUAGGGAAUGUUUUGGGUUGUCGUAUGCAAUCAUCCAACCCAAUAACUUGUGGAAAAACUUGAAGGUUAAUUUAAGCGGACCUAAUUAAUCUGGGGUAUUGAGAUUUACAAUUUAUUGAAAGAACAACUGAAAAUCAAUUUAGGUUGCAUAUAUGUCAUGUGUGGAGAAGAACCCUCUAGCCAGUCCGUCAUUUAUCAUUUUACCUUAAUUUUAUGUUUUUGUCAAUUCUGUAAUUUAGUUAAGUUUAAUUUACUUUUCAUCAAAACCAAACACCCAUCCAUUAUUAAAUUAUAUUAUUUAGUUAGUUUUAUUUAUUGUUAGUCUUUUAAUUUAAUUUCCGUCCAUUUCAGUUCCUAGUGUUUAAUUUAAUUGUUUUCAUUAUUUUGAGUCAUUCUAAGUGUGUUUCGGGUUAUUAGAGUUUUUAGCCUAGUUUUGUGUCCUUGAGUCUUAUUUAAUAUAUUUAAAUUAAUUGAGAAUAGAUUAGCAAUCCCUCCUAAUCCCCGGCCUAGAACGAUACCCUACUUACAUCCAUACUACAAUUGUCAAAAAGAGGGUUUAAUUUGUGUGUCAGGUAAUUCUCGCACCAAAUUUUGGCGCCGUUGCCGGGGAUUAGCAACUUUGCUAAUCCUUUUAUUUUUGUUUUUGCUUAUGUUUAUUUGUGUUUGUGUAUGUUACUUUUGAUAUUUGAUUUAUUUUUCUUUCUUUGAAUUGAGGUACAAAUGGAGCAAGACCUGGAUUCUACUAGCAUUCAAGAUCUAUUGGCACAGCUCACUGCUCAAUUAACUCAUAAUGCCGAACGGACCACAAUGCCAAGUGUCCCUACAUUUGAUGUGCCCUAUGGGCAAGGAUAUCAAGGUCCUCAAUUUUCUGCAAAUGAAGAUGUUUGGGGAUAUCAAGGCCAUAACCAAUCAAGGGGCAACAUGUUUUCCAAUGCUUACAAUUCAGAUUGGAGAGGUAAUUCAGAUUAUAUGUGGGAUGAACCUCAACAAUUUCAACAAGGUGGAUAUUGGCAGCAAGACGAGUUCUAUUCAAGACCUAUGCAGCCACCACAGCAUCCCCCACAACAAUUCCAAUCAAAUCAAAAUAUGCCCAUGAAUUAUAAUGAAAUUCUGGAAGGACUAAUUUCUGUGGCGCAGGGUUUACGAAAAGAAGAACAAUUGCCGCCAUCGGAAGAGUUCUAUCAGUGGCCAUAUGAACCAUCACAGCCACCACAACAAUCAACCCAAUUCAAUUCAGGUACAUCCUUGGAUAAUGAUACACUGAAUAAUUUACUCGCCUCUUUGAAUCAGGGAGUAGAAAAUCAAAACCAGGAGAUGCAAGACCGAGUCAAAAGAGUAGACGAAUUGGAUAUGCAUGUUGGGCAAAUUAUGGAAUUCAUGGCACAGAUUCAAGAGCAAAGUGAAGUCUCCAACUCAACUCUUGAAAAUUCAAAGGCAGAAGUUGAAAUCGAUGAAGCCAUCACCUUGGAAGGUGACAGGGAGGAUGAAGCUGUCCCAGAACCAUCCACACACAGCCCGAACUUGGAUGAAUUGCUGCUGCAAGCAGAAGGGGAGGAGGACGACCUGGGCAGUUUAGAAGAAUUCUUGCUGCAAGCUCCUCAAAUCCCUCUGUCAUCCAACUCAGGUGAGGAAGUUCCCAUUUCAUUUCAUUCUAAUGAUAUUCCUAUUCUUGGUGCAACAAAGCAGGUCCUAGAUCGUGUUGAAUAUUUCAAAGGCCUUUGUUUCCCAAGAAAUAUGAUUCAAGAGAAUGAAGUGGUGGAAGCAUGUCAAGAAUACAUCCAAGGGGCUGUGCAUGAGACAAUCAAGCCCAAAGCCGUUGAGUUUGAUGACCCGGGACAAGCCACAACCAUCAUAGUAAAUCUGGCCAAGUUCAAAGUCCCGGAAAUGUUCAAAAAUGUGGUGUU
Molecule: long non-coding RNA, 3511 nt
Filed under: Malus domestica (apple)
Lineage: Eukaryota; Viridiplantae; Streptophyta; Magnoliopsida; Rosales; Rosaceae
Description: long non-coding RNA (MDOM_LNC004005)
Source: RNAcentral